RNAcentral lists this long non-coding RNA (260 nucleotides) under Brassica napus (rape). RNAcentral describes it as "long non-coding RNA (BNAP_LNC010360)". The record is from RNAcentral. Lineage: Eukaryota; Viridiplantae; Streptophyta; Magnoliopsida; Brassicales; Brassicaceae.
GAGAGAGAGAGAGAGAGAGAGAGAGAAGCAAAGUGGUCGACCUAGAGUGUAGUCGAUUCUCACCGAGAAGGCCAGUUCCGUCCAAUCGAUGAUUCUAUACGAUUGUGAGGCGGAAGCUCUGUCCAUAUCUAUCCGUCCAGGCCAGACAUAUUCUGUGAUGGUCAAGUGGAGGUUCUGUCCAGAGUUAGUUCACUUCCAUGGGUUCAGAUCAGUCGAAGUUCUGCUAGAUACUCCGCCAGAAAGUCCGAAAAACUGUCCAG